CAUAAAUUAUUCCUUUUUUGUAUGUUUUUUUUAAAUAACAUUUACGGUUUUUUUAGUGUCAAUAAUUCUUCAACAAAUUCUUAUAUAAAUAUUAUGUUUUUUUUAUAUAAUUAACCACUUUAUACAUUCUUUACAUUAACUUUAUGUAAUUCUUAUAUAACGCUGCUACUAGGGUUGUGAGUCCCUCUAGACCUCAUAAUUUAGGAUGUGAGAACAACGAUCUUUAGCCAAGUGCUCAUACAAGAAUAGUAGGACACAAUUCUAUUAUCAAAUGCAAUUUUAUUUUGUUCCAGAAGAACAACUGAGCCCGCCACAGUUCAACAGAAAACACUCACUGGGGUAUAAUUUCUAAUAUAUCAGGCUUCAGAAUUACUUGUAGAGUUGGCAAGCCCCACUACACCAAAAAAAGGUAAUUGCAACAUUACAAUAAAACAGCAAAUAGAAUUGCUGCAUUACAGCAAAAUAAAUUAACUUAUUAAAUUGUCAUAAGUACGUUCUUUUGUCUGCUCCUGAUUAGUUUCUCAAAUCCGGAAUACAUUUUAGACAAAAUCUCAAUCUAUGUAACCUGGAACAAUGAUAUUUUUACCAUGAUAUUAUUCACCAUUGCCAUCUUCUGUAUAUGAUGCAGAACAUACAGGGUGUCCCAGAGCACCCGUACCAGGCCUUUUUCUCGGUUGAUUUAGGUCGAACGAAGUCAGGCACUGCGAGGAGAGGCUCAAUUUCCUCCAACCUCUGAAAUUUUGCCUUCUCCAUUUAUCCCUCAAGAAUGGCUAGGGGGGCCUCGGGAUCAUGUAAAUCGGGUUCCUUGGUGUCGAUUACCUGGGAUAUCAUCUUUUUCCGGAGAAGCUGCGUCAAUUUUUGACCAAAGGGAAAUUAUGGAGGGGGCUGCUGUCCCCCUCUGUAAGGGAUCAUUCUUGAGCGUGAAGUGGUCCGACUUUGGAUUUUUAAGGGUCGAUUUUACAUGAAAUUUUUCGUACUUUUCAACUCUAAUGUAAUCAAAUCGAAAUUCGAUCGAAAACCCCGACUUUUAGGAUCGUUACCCCCCCCCCCCCUUUAUCCUCCAAGGGGGGCUGGGAGGGGUUUUGAUACCAUGAAAUUCGGAUGCCUUGGGGUCGGUUCUCUAUUCAACCCUGUGGUCCCUGACUUCGUUCGACCUAAAUCAAUCGAGAUAAAGGCCUGGUGCGGGUGCUCUGGGACACCCUGUAUUUUAAAUAUAUUAUAUAUAUAUAUUAUUAAUGCAAGUCUUCCUCUAUUUAAAAUAAACAUAGCGUUAAUCAUACCUAAUUUUCAUUAUCUAUUAAACUUUUCAAUCCAUGGAAGGUUCCUUUAAAUAUUUUAAUACAGCCUUAUCUUAUAUUCUUUCACAUAAAAGCUAGCUCCAGUAACCCAGCGUUUGGGAAACUAAUUCGAAUACCCUGUUCAUCCAAAUAAUUUUCUCUUUUACCUCGAUGUUAACCAAAACACCAAGUUUUAGCUAAAAAUAAGCUUUAUUGUUUUCCCUCCCUAUCUUUAUAUGUGAUUUUUUUUUCAUUUUGUUUUCCAAGAUUUUUAUAUUUGUUCAGUUUUAUUUCUUUAAUUCUGAUUGUUUCACACGUGCUUUUUAAUGUUUGUCUUGUAUCCUAUGCUUGCAUCCAUUGAAAAUUACAGAGGCUUUUUAUCAUUGGUUCAGAUCAGUAAUAUGAACUUUAAAUGUUAAAACACUUAUCACAGUAUCAUAGGCCACAUUUUGCUGGCUAUGAGUGGCUGCAAAGUUUAUAAACAUAACUGUAAAAUGAACAGAAUUGCGAUUUGGCUCACGAAUCUUUAAGUCAGUGUUAAAGAUUUAGCAAACAUGCAUUAAAACUUAAAAGUCAUUCUAAAACUGAUGUCUCAAGAAAGAGAAGGAAAGUUCAUCCAAGCACAAUUUUCCCUCAGGAAGAUAUGCCGUUUUAUUUUAUUUGAUUUUUACAAAAUUGUAGAGAAGCCUCUAUACUUAAGAAACCACGGUACGGGUCAAGCACUAGGAAGUGCGCUUGAACCCCAUUUCGAACUCAUCUUUCUUACAACCAAAAAGCAUUUAAUUUAAAAAUAUGAAUAAGUUGAUGCAAUUCUAUCAUUUUUUCCAAGCGAUCUCUUCAACACUUUAAAAGGUCUCUUUAAGCACAAGGCUGAUUACUCAAAGUUUAAAUCAGCAUGAUAAGACAUCAAAAUGCGAUAUAUUGCUCCUUUAAGCUAAGGUUUUGUCUUGUCUAGUCGUGCUGACAUAGUUUCAAUAUUCGGACUACAGGAGCUUUUCUGCUUCCCUGAGGAACGAUUUAGAGUGCAUUUUUGAAGAGAAGCUUUAUUUCUGACAGAAGUGCAUUUACUUAAUGAAUAGCUGAAUAUUUGAUAUAACUCUCAGAAAUCGUUUUAAAAAAAUGUCCAAAAUUCCAACGUUUGUGAUAUUUGAAUGCCUAGAACCAUAUUAACGGUCAGGAAUAAAAUGAGCUGGUACAAUAAGUACAUCAUUUAUCGCCUUCUUAUUGCUCUAAAAACUAUACAGUGAUGAUUGCGAAAAUAGCAUCUGCAGCCUUGACUGCAUAAUUGUAUGAAAUUAGGCGUGAAAUUAGUCAGUGAGGGGGCUCUUCAGUAUCCCAAGUAGCACAGUGCAUAGAAAUAUAAUUGCAAUUUAAUACUGUAUAAUUGCAAUUUAAUACUGUAAAAUUGCUAUUUUUUACCAUAAAAUUAAAAUAUUUGUUCAUCAUUUGGUCAGUGAAUGCCGUUUAUGAAUAGUUAAAAAAAUAAGUUCCUUAUGUCAGAAAAAUAGGCAAUUUUCAAUGUAGUAAAAAUUGUGAUUUUUUCAAUUUUAUUGAAUUGAAUUACAAUACCAGACGCCCCUUCAAUCAGGAGAUAGGCAACAUACUCAUCACUCCAAUACAGUGCUAAAACCAUAUACUGCAAUUUACUUCAAUCUGUGCUGCUUGGAAACUGGAGACAAACCUCUCGAAGCCAGGUAACGAAAUUUGGGCCCUAAGUUAAAUUUCGGAAAUUCAUUUUAGUUUGCUUCGCAGUCUGUGAACAUGACUCUAAAAUAUCGUGAAAAAUUGUCAAAGGGAACGAAAAGCGCAAUAGAAAUGAAACAUAUUUUGCAGUACUGUGUGAUUAAAUGAGCAAAGAAAUAAAAAUAAGAAGAAUUAAAUCAUAAAUGAAAAGUUAAACGGGCAAAGUAUAGCUUAAAUCUGAGAAUCAUAACUGAAUAGUUGAAUACUUUUUUAUUUUUCUUCUCAUUUAAUGUUUCAUUCAUGAUUCUCAGAUUGAAUCUCCUUAUUUCAUUUGUUAUAGUCUUUACCUGAAAUUAAUUUUAUACAAUUACAUGUUACGUUUCUAAUUUUAUCAAGCUUGUUUCAAAAUUAUAAAAAUUUUAUUUUUGUUCGAAUAUAUUUUCAUUGAUCGCUAUA
Non-coding RNA from Bemisia tabaci, 3416 nucleotides. Lineage: Eukaryota; Metazoa; Arthropoda; Insecta; Hemiptera; Aleyrodidae. The record is from RefSeq and is a predicted model, not a curated record.